CCACUCUCCCCAAAUAGGCCCUGCUCGUGUACACCCCAUACCUUUACAAAUGCUGCUCUCCUGCCGGGAAUGCCUGUUCUCAUCCUCUUACCCUGGCAAGACAUUCAGUUAGUUCUUUACAACCCAGUUCUGAUGUCACUUCCUUUUAGUCAUUCAUCCGUCCCUCUGGGCUGGGUUAAUUCACUUCCUUCUCCAGGGCUUCGCUGAACUCUGCACAGACCUCAAUUACAACCCUUAUAAAGCUGGGUUGUGGUCGGGUGCGGUGGCUCAUGCCUGUAAUCCCAGCACUUGGGAGACUGAGGCAUGUGAGUCGCCUGAACCCGGGAGGCAGAGGUUGAAGUGAGCCGAGAUCGUGCCACUGCACUCCAGCCUGGGCGACAGAGCGAGACUCCGUCUCAAAAGUAAGUAAGUAAAUAAAUAAAUAAUAAAGCUAGGUUGUAAUUCCUUAAUUACUGAUCAGACUUUUUUCACUAGACUGUGGGUGUCACAUGUGGGUCUGAGUCAUCUCUGUGUCCUCAGAGCCAAGAAGUGGGGAGGUGCUUAAUGAAGUUACUGAAUGCUCCAGAAAUAUGUUCCCGUCACUGAGUGCUCCAAAGAGGCAUUCACCUGUCUCCUCUUCCCUGAUCAUCCCUCGGGGCUACCUGGAGUGCCUGCCAGAUCAGAGUUUGAGAGAUCUGCCCUGGCAGUCGCCUGACUAGGCCUACAUAUCUUCCCGUGUCUGGCCAGCCUUCCAGAGAGCAGUCUGUCCCUCUCUCCGACUCCAGCCGGCCAGGCCUGGUUCUCACAUUGUCAAAAAUAAAAGGAGUUAAAAGAAGCCAAGCGAUUAGGCAAGAAAAGGAAAUGAAGGCAUCCAGACUUGAAGGAAAGAAGUGAAACUAUUUGAAGAUAACAUGGUCUUGUUUGUAGAAAAUCCUGGGGAAUCUACAAGAAAAUUUUUAGAACUCACAAAUGAGUUCCAGGGGCCCAAGUCCUCAGUUUGGCUUUGAAGGGGUCCCUUGGUCUCCUGGCCCUGCUCCCCCUUUCCUGUGGCACUUCCCAGCACUCCUCCUGUGAGUGGCUCUUAGCAGCCGCAGUGGAGCAUCCACUUUGACGUUGCCUACUUUCCCCUCUCUUCUCCCUGCCUGGGUAGAGCCUUUGAAGAGCUUCUGUCUCAUCUUCACCUCAUCCCUAAAGUCCUUAAAUAAGGGGCAUAUUUAUCGAGGAUAAGAAUUGGACCUGUGUUAUCUCAUUCAAUCCCCACAGCAACCUUUGGAAGUGGGAACUGUAAUUAUCACCCCCAUUUUUCAGAUGAGGCUCUGGGAACCUAUGCCCCUGGUCCAACCUCACAGUUAUGAGGCCCACUGGGCUUGAAAGCAAGGGCUGCCUGACUCCAACAUCCAAUUUCUUUUUUUUUUUUUUUUUGAGAUGGAGUCUCGCUCAGUCGCCCAGGCUGGAGUGCAGUGGCGCAUACUCGGCUCGCUGCAAGCUCCGCCUCCUGGGUUCACGCCAUUCUCCUGCCUCAGCCUCCCGAGUAGCUGGGACUACAGGUGCCCACCACCAUGCUCGGCUAAUUUUUUUUGUAUUUUUUAGUAGAGACCGGGUUUCACCGUGUUAGCCAGGAUGGUCUCGAUAUCCUGAACUCAUGAUCCGCCUGCCGCGGCCUCCCAAAGUGCUGGGAUUACAGGCGUGAGCCACCGCGCCCGGCCCUCCAACAUCCAAUUUCUUAACCCGAAAUUUGGAAAGAGAAGUGAGGCCCUAUUCUAAUGCUUCCUCCCCUAGCUAGAUGUAUCUCUUCUUUCCCUGACCCAGACUCCAAGGCUGAUAAGCUAUCAGUGUGUAGAGCUGACUCUGUACUGUGAUCAUUUAUGCAGAGCUUUUCUCUCCCCUGUUUGGCUGGAAGAUCCAUGGGAGCAGAGGCCACGUCUUAUUCAGCCUCACAUGCUAGAACUGCUUGGCACAUGCUCAAAUGUACAUACCUAGAUACUACAUUCUUGAUCAUUUGAAAAAUUUGCUGCCUUUUAAUUCUUUUUAAAUUUGUGAGUUCCUCAUUCAUCCUUUUAUUUCCUUAUACUUUUUCCUUGAAAGAAUCUGGAAGUUUGACUGUUGCAUCUCCCUUGGCCUGACAUUGCUGACUGCACACUCGAGGUUCUGUUCAACACACUGCUCUGUCCUGUGAUCGUCCUGUGAAUUGCCAGCUGAAUCCAGAGACUGGCUCAGGCUCAGGAUUGAUCCCUUUGGUCAGACUGCAGGUGGGGCUUGGCUUCUCUAGGUGGUAUAUAAUGUCUGUUUGUCUCAUUUUCUAAUAAUCUUAGCAGCUGUUAUACUUAAUACCUAUAUCUAUUCCUCUGUUCUCUUAAAAAUUCUAAUUGUGUAAAAUAUAUAUAAUACAGAAUUUACCAUUUUAACCAUUUUAAAGUGUACAGAUCAGCAAUGUUAAGUACAUUCAUAUUGUUGUGCAACCAAUCUCCAGAACUCUCUUUAUCUUGUAAAACUGAAACUCUAUAUUUACUGAACAACUCUCCAUUUCUCCCUCCCUCAACCCCUGGCACUCACCAUUCCACUUCCUUUUUCUUUUUUUUUGAGACCAAGUCUCGCUCUGUCACCCAAGCUGGAGUGCAAUGGCGCCAUCUCGGCUCACUGCAACCUCCGCCUGCCGGGUUCAAGUGAUUCUCCUGCCUCAGCCUCCUGAGUAGCUGAGAUUACAGGCACCUGCCAUCAUGCCGGGAUAAUUUUUGUAUUUUUGUAGAGACAGGGUUUCACUAUGUUGGCCAGGCUGGUCUUGAACUCCUGACCUCAGGUGAUCCGCCUGCCUCAGCCCUCCAAAGGGCUGGGAUUACAGGUGUGAGCCACUGCGCCUGGCCCCACUUUGUUUUUCUUUCUGUUUUUUUUUUUUUGGUUUUGUUUGUUUGUGUGUUUGUUUUUGGAGACGGACUCUCCCUCUGUUGCCCAGGCUGGGGUGCAGUGGCGCAAUCUUGGCUCACUGUAACCUCCGCCUCCUGGGUUCAAGCAAUUCUGCUGCCUCAGCCUCCUGAGUAGCUGGGACUACAGGCGUACCUCACCAAGCCUGGCUAAUUUUUUUGUAUUUUUAGUAGAGAUGGAGUUUCACCGUGUUGCCCAGGCUGCUUUUGAACUCCUGAGCUCAGGCAAUCUGCCCGCCUCGGCCUCCCAAAGUGCUGGGAUUACAGGCAUGAGCCACCACACCCGGCCUGUUUUUUGGUCUUUUUUUUUUGAGACAGAAUCUAGCUUUGUCACCCAGGCUGGUGUGCAGUGGUACAACCUCGGCUCCCUGCAACCUCCACCUCCUGGCUUCAAGUGAUUCUCCUGCCUCAGCCUCCCAAGUAGCUGGGAUCACAGGCACAUGCCAGCAUGUCCAGCUAAGUUUUUGUAUUUUUAGUACAGACGGGAUUUCAGUAUGUUACCCAGACUGGUCUUGAACUCUUGACCUCAAGAGAUCCACCUGCCUCGGUCUCCCAAAGUGCUUGGAUUACAGGCAUGAGCCACUGCACCUGGUCUCCACUUUCUGUCUCCAUGAGUUUGAGUACGCCAGGGACCUCAUAUAGGCAGAUUCAUAUACUACGUGCCCUUUUGUGACUGGCUGAUUUAUCUUAGCAUAACGUCCUCAGGUUUCAUCCACGCUGUAGCAUAUCACAGGAUUUCCUUUCUUUUGGAUGCUGAAUAAUAUUUUAUUGUAUGAAUACGCCACAUUUUGUGUAUCCAUUCAUCCUCUGAUGGACACUGGCUGCUUCCACUCUUCGGCUGCUGUGAAUAAUGCUGCUAUGAACAUGGGUGUAUAUAGACGUCUCUUCAAGACCCUGCUUUCAAUUCUUUCGGGUAUAUACUGAGAAACGGAAUUGUUGGGUGGCAUGGUAAUUCUAUGUUUAAUUUUUUGAGGAGCUGCCAUACUGUUUUCCAUAGUGGCUGCACCAUUUUAGAUUCUCAUCCUUUAUGCUCUUUUAAUGUUCAUUUCCACCACUCACCAUUCAGGGAGUGUUCAGGGCCCUCGACUAACCAUAUUGGGAUCCAAAAGGUAAUGUUCCCUCUAAUAGUCCCAAACUGGGAACUACAUGCAAGUCCAGUAACAGGGGAUCCAUUAAAUCAUAGAUCCCUAACAUGGAAUCCCACGUAGCCAUUUAAAAUAUUGUUGGGAAGAGUAUUUGAUGACAUGAAAAGAUGUCUCUAAUACUUGUUUAAGUUAAAAAAAAAAGGAGGCUACAAAACAGAAUGUGUAUGUGUAGGGUAAAUCCAUAGUUUUAGUAAAAAGACAACUGUGUAUUAGUAGGAAGAGCUGUCUUAACUGACCUUCACUUAACUGAUUCACUGAAUUAGUCAAAGUCCCUCACCCCUGCCACUUGUAAAACACAGUGACCCGGCUGGGCGCGGUGGCUCACGCCUGUAAUCCCAGCACUCUGAGAGGCCGAGGCGGGCGGAUCACGAGGUCAGGAGAUCAAGACCAUCCUGGCUAACACAGUGAAACCCUGUCUCUACUAAAAAAUACAAAAAAUUAGCCAGGUGUAGUGGCAGGCGCCUGUGGUCCCAGCUACUUGGGAGGCUGAGGCAGGAGAAUGGCGUCAGCCUGGGAGGCAGAGCUUGCAGUGAGCUGAGAUCGUGCCACUGCACUCCAGCCUGGGCGAUAGAGCGAGACUCUAUCUCAAAAAAAAUCAAAAACAAAACAAAAAAAACCCAAAAACACAGUGCCCCAAUAGCUUUCGUUUUUACACCUUCUGCUCCCAACUAUUCAGUUGUACAAUGAGUAAGAGUCACCUUAGUCCCAAGUUAGUUGUUUCCAAACUUGUUUAUUCUAGUUGUAUUAUAUAUGGUAAGAAUGAAUUACACAUGACACAAUAAGGUGAAAUAUGAGUGCAAAAAGUCUCCAUGGGAGCAAAGUCAAAUAUUUGGAGAAGAUGCCUUAAACAAGUGUUAAAUUACAGGUGGAUCAGACAAGGGUAAAAGCCUGGGACACCACCUCUUGGAGGGGAACUAUCUUUCUGAGUUAUCACCUAGAGUGCCAAUUCUUUUCACCUUUAUUGUCCUGAAUUUUCACAGCUCUCCAUGGUAAGCGAUCAGCCAUGUCAUAGUCACCAACUAUGUAGAGUCAAGAGACUAUUUUUAUUCUGUUGCAAACCUUCAGGUCAGCCUAUUAUAGGUAUCUAUAGAAUUCAUUCCUGCAGUGGCAAAUAUGUGGCAUUUGUCCUACCAUUCUCCCAUCCUAAACCCAUGGCUGAUAUCAUGAACCCAUCACCAGAUUUUAUCCUGCUAAAUCCACACUGUAGUAUCAGAACUCUCUGGUUAGCCACAACAAAUCAACUGGGGAUGACAUGUCAUGUGACAUGAAACCUAUGCUGCCUCCCCAACCUCCUCAGGUUACAGAAGGCUUUAAAAAAAUCAGGUAGAAAAUUAAACAUAUACAAAGUGUCUAAAGUCCUGGCCCCUGGGCCCCUGGACUGAAUAUACUGUUUUAUACAUGGUAAGCAUUCAGUGUUCAUUGAAUGAAUGAAUGAAUGAAUGAAUGACAAUGCAUGGUCUCCUGCUUUCCAAAGCUCACCAUUCAGUCUUUCUCCCUCGCAUCAUCCUUCUUAGUUUCCCCUGACACCUGUGCUCUGAAUUUCCUCCCAGUCUAUAGGACAGCAGAAGGCCACAGUGCCCAGAAAUCCCACCAUUACCGACUGGUUUCUUUUGGAUGUGAUAUCCCAUUCAGAGUUAUUUGCAGGUGACCUCAAUACCAGAAUCAUAAACAACUAAUAACUUCUGCCUCUCUUCAGGAAGGCUGUGACUUGCCAACAAAAUGAUUCCCAGAAGACUGCGUUACUAACUGUGAAGCACUCUGCCCCAGGAAGGGGGCUGUAAAUCAGACUUCUUGUUUUAUUUCACUGCUGUACAGCUUUUGGAAAGCACCGACCAGCCUCUCUUCUUCCAGAAAGGAAAAAAAUGCUUCCAUCUCCUUAUUCUGCUUUCCCCUCCCCCUCCUGUUUGCAGCCUCUGGAGUUCAGGGAACAUAUCUGACCUGUCCCUGAACAUUCUCCCUUCUGCCUCUUUGUUCGCGCUGUUCCAUCUUCCCAUACCACCCUUCCACAAACCCCACGCUGACCCCCUGAGACCCUUGCCCGGCCCCAGGCCCACCUCAGAUGCCACCCGCCAAGGAGCCUUCCCUCAUUCCAACCACCUGGGUAGAAAACCUGCCAUCUCUUUACGUGAUAGUCCUUUGGAAGCACCUUCGAUUUUAUUUAGCACAUUCUACCUUAUUUUGCUGGUCUAAAGCAGUAAGAGUCCAGGGCAGCCACCGUUUAUCGAGAGCUUUGAGUGUGCCAGUCACCAUGCAAAGGACUUACAUGCCAUUAUGGUUUGAAUGUUUGUGUCUCUCCAAAAUUCAUGUUGGAGCUUUGGGAGGUGAUUAGGCUAUGAGGGCUCCACCCUCGUGAAUGGGAUUAAUGCCCUCAUAAGGGAGGCUCCAGAGAGCUGCCUGGCUCUUCUGUCUUUUCUGUCAUGUGAGAACACAUUGUCCCUUCCACCUCUUCCAUCACAGGAGGACACCUAGAUGGCACCAUUUAUGAGGAAGGAACCCUCCCUACACACUUAACCUGCUGGCACCUUGAUCUUGGACUUUCUAGGCUUCAGAGGAAAUGAGUUUCUGUACUUUAUAAAUUAUCCAGUCUCGGGUAUUUUAUUAAAGCUUACAAACAGACUUGUAUUAUCUCCUUUAUCUUGCAAACCUCUAUAGCCAUGUCCAUUUUAUUGAGGCUCAGAGAUGCUAAGGAGCCCAAGGUCACACAGCUAGUAAGGAACAGGUCCAGGCAUUCAUUCAUUAAUGAAUUCAUUAAUUCGUUCAAUCAACCAAUCUUUACUUAUUUAUUAAAGGCCUAUAAUGUGCUAGUCAAAGUCUAGAUGUUGGGAAAAUAACAGUAAUCAAGUCAAAGUGCUCGUCCACAAGGAGCUACCAUUCUAGCGGAAGAAACAUAUCCUAAAGAAAAAUACAAGUCAAUAAAUACUGUGUCAGGUGGUGAUAAAUGCUAUGGGGAAGAAAGAGGGUUAGUGAUGGCUGAAGUGGGUCUGCUGUUUAUAUAGGGUGGUCAAGGUGAUCUGGCAACAUUUGAGCGGAGAUCUAAAGGAAAUGAGUCAUGCAGAGAUCUGCAGGAAAAAACAUCACAGGAGGUGGGAACAGCCUAUGCAAAGGCCCUGGGGUGGGCACAUCUAUGGUAUGUUGGAGAGGCAGCGAGGAGUUUAGUGUGGCUGGAGCUGAGUGAGUGAGGGGAGAUAAACUUAGGUGACAGGGGUUAGAUCACGGAGGGCCUCGUGGUCAUGGCAGGAACUUCGGUUUUGACUUUGAUGAAACAGGGAGCCACUAAAGGACAACUCCCAGAACCCAUGUCCUUAAUUGCUAUGCUAUACUACUGAUGGAUUACGUGAAUGAAUGCCGAAAGGUACUUGUGGACUUUUUCUCAUUAAAACCAGCAGGAUGGUGGCCCAGAGAGUCUAGAAACAACGCAUGGAAGGGCAAGAUGUGAGUUAACAAGGAGGGCUAAUUAGGAAGGGGGAAAAGUGCCCAUUGCCUUGGUUGCCGGGAGUCUCUGAGGCUCCCACAGCACAGGACUGUGUAGGGCCCCGUGAUAGCCCCAGUGGGUCCUCUACCUGGAUUUGCAGAGUAGAUUUUCCAGGCCUGCCCCAGAUGGGUCUCAGCCCUUCCAUGAAAUAUGUCCUUUGCUAACAAGAGGCAGUGAGAAAAAGCCAACGUCUGCAAUGACUCACCAGAGAGAAAUGAAAAUUGUGCCCAGACUGGAAAAGAACCCAUCUGAAAGUGACACAUUUGCCUCCAAAAUAUAUAUACAUAUAUAUAAAGCUUUUUCUUUUCUUUUUCCUUCUCAUUUGAAGGAAGGCAGAGCCUUCUCACAUACACUGCCUCACAGCAGGAAAAUCUACUCUGCAAACUUCUGAAAUUCCUGUCCUUAUUCCUGUCGCAAUUCUAUGAGGCAAAAGGAUAUCAUAUCUGGGGAGGUGGCCAUUUCACGGCAGGACAGCAAGCGUGUGCCCUGGCAUUCCCAGGACAAUCCCAAUAGCAAAUAUUCUUCUGAUUGGCUGCCCCCCUCCCCCAGCCCCACUGCCAACUAACCAGCUAUUCUGACUUGGGAGUGCGUACGUUAAAAUGCAGAUUCUGGGAACUCUGAUUCAGGAGGUCUGGGAGGAAGCCCGGACACUGCACUUCAAAUAGAGAACCUCCAAUGAUUCUGAUACAGCCUGUCUAAGAAACGCUUCUCCAAACCACAGGAAUAGUCCCAGUAGCCCUAGCCUUCUGCAUCUAUGCUUAAAGGAUGAAGUGACUCCAAUCCUUUCUCAGACCACAGGGAGGCACAUUUUAGCUCCUGGCAGAGGUCAGAAUGCUCCUGGCCAAAUCAGAGUGGUGGAGAAUCUUGAAAUCCCAGUCCUUGCCCCUGUCCAUUCCAACUCUCUUCAUUUAUCUUCCUGACUUGAGCUUCUGGACUCUGCCGAGCAUUUGCUCUCUGGGUCAUAGCCAGGAAGGCCCCGGUGCUGAGGCAUGGAGCUGCCCUGGGUCUUGGAUACAAGCCACAGCUGGAGAGGGGGUCAGACCUUGCCUAAGCCUCUGAUCAUGAAGUAUAACAGAAAUGCCUAAUUGUGAUUAUGAAACACUGUUUCACGUCUUAAUUUGUUGAAGUUACAUGUUGACAGUAGGUACUGCCUUAGCAGGUGGAAACAAAAGGGUCCUACAUCUAUUAUUACUGUAAUUUACUGGAAUAAGGAGCCACCAGAUGCAGCCCUGGCUCACACCCCUUCCUCAUGAAUUACAAAGCUGGUCUGAGGGCCCUGUCAGUUGCUGGCUUUGGGCACCAACAUUGCUAAUUAAAAUCUUCCUGUGGUGCACUCCACUUUGUUGAGAUCUCUGCUCAGAUGCCAUCUUCCUUACCCACUGGUCUAAAUGACUCUCUUCCCCAGUGCCCUUCUCUUGUUAUUUCUAACCUCUUAGCCUACUUUAUUUUCCUUCAGAGCAUCCACCACUACUUGAAUUACAAAUUGAUUUAUUUGCUUGCUACUUUAUCAUCUGCCUUAAUCCAUCUAGAAGGUAAGUUCUUUAAGAGCUAUGACGUUGUCAUGUUCAACACUGUAUUUUGAUGCCUUGCACAUAACAGGCACUCAACUGAUAGUUGCUGAAUGAAUCAAUCAAUGAUAAAUGAAUGAAUGUUACAAUGUUCUGAGGGCCCUGGAGUCAUGUCUAACUGCAUGAUGCUCUACUUAUUGGAUCCAGUGGUCUUUGCGGACUAAGCAGAUACACAAAAAAUAACAACAGCUGCUUUUUUUUUUUUUUUCUUUUGAGACAGGAUCUUGCUCUGUUGCAUAGGCUGGAGUGCAGUGGCACAAUCUUGGUUCACUGCAACCUCUGCCUCCCGAGCUCAAGCAAUCCUCCCACCUUGGCCUCCCCGGUAGCUGGGACUGUGAAUGCGCACCACCACACCUGACUAAUUUUUGUAUUUUUUGGUAGAGAUGGGGUUUCACCGCAUUGCCCAGGCUGGCCUCAAACACCUGGGCUCAAAUGAUCCGCCUGCCUUGGGCUCCCAGAGUGCUGGGAUUACGGGUGUGAGCCUCCGCACCCAGCCAAUAGCUGUUUUAUUUAGUGCUUACUAUGUACUGGGUGUACACACCAUCUCAUUUUAUCCUCAGAGUAGUUUUGCAAGGUCGGGAUUAUUAACCCCAUUUAUUUAUUUAUUUUUUUGAGACAGGGUCUCGUUUUGUCACCCAGGCUGGAUACACUGGCACGUUCAAUAGUUCACGGCAGCCUCGACCUCCCGGGCUCAAGCAACUCUCCCAUCUCAGCAUCCCGAGUAGCUGAGACCACAGGUACUCACCACCAUGCCCAGCUAAUUUUUGUAUCUUUUUUGGUAGAGACAGGGUUUCACCAUGUUGCCCAGGUUGCUCUGAACUCCUGGGCUCAAGUGAUCUGCCUGCCUCAGCCUGCCAAAGUGCUGGGAUUACAGGCAUGAGCCACUGCAUGUGGCCCUAUUAACUCCACAUAAGAGAUAUAAAAACCAAUGACAAAGUCACCCAGCCAGUAAGGGAAGAGGCGGAAUUCAAACUUAAGUCAUUUAAUGCCAAGGUCUUCACUGUGUCUCACGACAACUGCAUUUGAUGCGAUCUAACUUGUGUUGACACUGGGAUAGGAUCCAGAGACAAGCAAGACAAGGUCCCUAAUGCCAGAAGUUCAGGGUCUAUCUCGGCAGCACAGCAGAAUAAGGAUGAGCAAGCAAUUAGAAUUCACCUCCACAUCCGAGCCUCAUCCUGUACUAGCUGAGCCUCAGCUCCCUCCUCUGUAAAAUAGAGUACUAAUUCACCAAAAUAAUGGAGCCAUAAGUCAUCAGUCCUCUGCUAUGUGAGGACACAGCAAGAAGGCAGCCACCUGCAAGCGAGAAGAGGCCCUACACCAGAGCCUGGCCAUGGUGGCACCCUGAUCUCAGACUUCCAGCCACCAGACCUGUGAGAAAUCAAUGUUUGCUGUUAAGGCUGCCUAGUCCAUGACAUUUUGUUAUAUAUAGCAGCCUGAACUAAAACAGUAGUGAUUCUGGAAGUCAGGUCUACUAGCCAAACACUGUGAACCACCGAUACAUUUAAUUCCAUUACACAGAUCCAAAGUAGUUUUAUUAUCAAACUAAAGGUACAAAGAAAAGAGUCAAGAAUCUCUAGGCAAUUAAAAAUUAGCAUCACAAUCUAGGUGCGGUGGCUCAUGCCCAUAAUCCCAGUAUUUAGGAUUCCCAGUACUGGGGAGGCUGAGGCGGGAGGAUCACUUGAGGCCAGGAGUUCAAGAUCAGCCUGGGCAAUAGAGCAAGAACCUACCUCUACAAAAAAUAUAAAAACUAGUCAGGCAUCGUGGCAUAAGCCUGUAGUCCCCACUACUUGGGAGGCUAAGGUGGGAGGAUUGCUUGAGCCCAGUUAUUUGAGACUGCAGUGAGCUAUAAUCAUACUACUGCACUCCAGCCUGGACAGCAGAGCAAGACUCUUAAAAAAAUUACCAUCACAAAUCAAUUAUGUUCAAAUCUCUCUGUUAAUAAGUAUUUCUUGAUUGGGCUGUUUAGAUUUUAGCAUCUACGUGGGCAAUACAAGGCAGUUGAGGGUGAAGGAAACUGGCAUCUCAUGGCUGGGGUGAUGCAAAUUAUUACUCUCUGUGGGCAGUUUUGUAGCUUUUACUCAAAAUCUUUAAAAUGUACAUAUUCUUUGGCUCUGCAGUUCUACUUCUGAGAAUCUUUCAUCCCACAGGGUACAAAAAGAUGUUCACCAUAGUGUUAUUUUUAUUACUGGAAAGUGGGACACAAUAUAAACAGCAGUCAUUACGGGACUGGUCCCAUGUUAGCACACAAGAACACCGGGAUGGUAUACAGCGAUUAAUAAUCAUGUGGCUUUCUCUGCUGACAUGGGAAAGUGUCCAUAAUAGUUUGUCAAAUUAAGAAGAUGACAAAACGGUACAUAAUCAUAUUUCUGUAACAUCGUAUGUAUGGGUGUGUAUGCUUGCAGAAAAGUCUACAAAAAUAUUCCCUGGAUUGUUCACAGUGGCUUUAUCUUGGUAGAAGGAUUUCAAGUGAUAUUUUUUCAAACUUUUGAUUUAACAGAUAGUAUUGUGUUAGGAAGCUAAGCAAAAAAACCCUCAAAAAACAAAAAACUAGAGUGGCCAGGAGUGGUGGCUCAUGCCUGUAAUUCCAGCACUUUGGGAGGCCAAGGCGGGUAGAUCGCUUGAGCUCAGAAGUUGGAGACCAGCCUGGCCAACAUGGCGAAACUGUCUCUACAAAAAAAUACAAAAAUUAGCUGGGCGCAGUGGUACAUGUCUGGAAUUUCAGCUACUUGGGAGGCUGAGUCAUGAGAAUCACUUGAACCUGGGAGGCAGAGGUCACAGUGAGCCAAGAUUGCACCACUGCACUCCAGCCUGGGUGACAGAGUGAGAGCCUGUCUCAAAAAAAAAAAAAAAAAGAAAAAACUGGAGUCAAUCUAAAAUUGCUUUAAAGAAAAGUGUUGAGGAAAUAAUAGAACAGGCAGGAAAGAGAUGUGAGAAAAUGGCAAAGGGGAGUGUGAAAGUUUGGCAAACACAGUUUUAAAUUCUUCAUCCUGCUCUUGCGUGGAAAGACUGUCUGCUCUUGCUUCUAAGUGAUAAACAUCUUAGUGGGAAAACCUCUUCCUUUUAUUUACCCAUUGACCCAGUUUUGGUGGUCAAUGACGCCCGCCCUUCCUGACAGAUGUUGGGGCAUGGGCCAGACAGGCCCGCUGGGUACACAAGGAUGCCCGCUCUUCUCCCUUGAUCCUGCAGUGGCUCCCUAGGGCCUCCAAGUAGGGGGAGUAGUUCUGUUGAUGGAGGGGUCACUAUGUACAAAGACUGAGCUGAAAUUUCUUGCACACCUUCUCAGAAUCACCCUAGGAGGGAAGCUUUUUGAAUGACCCCAUUUUAUUGAAAAAGAAACUAAGGCUCACAGAGGUCAAGGGUCUUGUCCAAGAUCACACAGCAAGUAAGCGAAGGACCUCACGCUCCAGUUCAGGUCGGCCUCUUUCUUUUGUUUUUUUGAGACAGAGUCUCGCUCUGUCGCCCAGGCUGGAGUGCAGUGGCAUGAUCUCGGCUCACUGCAAGCUCCGCCUCCCAGGUUCACGCCAUUCUCCUGCCUCAGCCUCCUGAGCAGCUAGGACUACAGGCGCCGCCACCACACCCGGCUAAUUUUUUGUAUUUUUUUUUUAAGUAGAGACGGGGUUUCACCGUGUUAGCCAGGAUCGUCUGGAUCUCCUGACCUCGUGAUCCACCCGCCUUGGCCUCCCAAAGUGCUAGGAUUACAGGCGUGGGACACCGUGCCCAGCCCAGGUCAGCCUGUUUCUAGGACCCAUCACUCUGAACCUCUAGUAACAAGAGGAUUCAGAAUCUGAGAGAUACUGCUUAAAAGGAAAAUGUCCUGGAGGGAUGCCAAACUGCACUCUCAAAGGUUUCGGCUGGAUGUGUGAUAUUGAUGGGGAAACCCAUUUCAGUGUCUCUAAGAAGGGGGUAGUGCUCCUCUUUCCAGGAUGUCUCUGGGGAAUCUAGAGCACCCCAAAGUGUGGUAUGCAUAGAAACAUUGCUGCUUAAGGUCUGAAUAUUUGUUCCUCAUCAAUUCAUGUGUUGAAAUUCUAACCUCUCCUGAAUGGGAUUAGUGCUCUUACACGAGAGGCCUGACAGAGACUCCUCACCCUUCCCACCAUGCGAAGACACAGUGAGAAGGCUCAGUCUAUGAACCAAAAUGUUGACUGUCACCAUUUACUCAAUCUGCUGUCGCCUUGAGCUUGGACUUCCCAGCCUCCAGAACUGUGAGAAAUAAAUUUCUGUUGCUUAUAAGACAACCAGUUUAUGACAUUUCGUUAUAGCAGCCUGAAUGGACUAAGACACCCUUCCCACCAUGUGAAGACAGAGUGAGAAGGUUCGGUCUAUGAACCAAAAACUGACCCUCACCAGUCAUUGAAUCUGCUGGUGCCUUGAUCUUGGACUUCCCAGCCUCCAGAACUGUGAGAAAUAAAUUUCUGUCGUUUAUAAGCCACCUAGUUUAUGAUACUUUGUUAUAGCAGCCUGAAUGGACUGAGACACCCACCUUAAAAAGACAGUACCUCAAAACCAUAAGGCAGGAUAACUGCUAGCCUGAUAUUAAUAGUUUUUAAUUUACUGCUAGCUUCAUUUUGCCAACUGAGUCAGAUAUUUUUUAAAAGUUCUGUUUGCAAUUAUUUUAACUUAGGAGAGGAGAAAAAGAGCAGGCAUCAGCCUGCAUAUGGGAUAUUUCUGAAAGGAUUUUGCUAUGAUUAGCUUGCCCUCAGGGAGAGUAAAAUGUGAGUUAUACAACCAUGCUUAUAUUUAGAUGUUGUUGAUGUUCUGGCUUAUAAUAUAUGAUGAGUUAGAAAUAAUUUUGUACUGAUCAGCCCAACCAGAAAAUAAACAUGCUUUAACUUGUAUUUAUUACUAAACUUGGUCUCCUAAAACAUGAUAAAGCAGUUGAGUCUAUAAUGACUGAGCCAUAGCUUCUCUGACUGACUCUAAGAGGGAAUGACGUUAAUAAGAGAUUAGCCCAUACCUCUAAUAGCCCUGGGAGAGAUGAACCCAAGACGGCAAGGCCCAGCUCUGAUGGAUGAAGGGACAGAGAACUAUAAGAAGACUGGGUUCCAUCUAGGAUGGGUGGCCUGUUGAGUGCCCAUCUUAUCUGCUUAGAUGAUGAUACUUGGAGACCUGACUCAAUUGUUGUGAAUGGUCUUUGUAAAAUUUUAUUUUAGAGACAGGGUCUUGCUAUGUUGCCCAGGCUGGUCUCAAACACCUGGGCUCAAGUGAUCCUCCUGCCUCAGCCUCCUGAGUAGCUGGAACUGCAAGUGAUUACUCUUAUUGAACAAACAAACAAAAACAAGUGCCUGUGACCUAAUAGAGAUGCAUGCAUAUGUUCACCAAAAGAUCUAGAAUGUCCACAACAGCCCUAUUUAUCAUCACCCCAAAUGGGGCACCCUGCACCUACCUCAACAGUAGAUGCAUACAUUUCUGUGUAUUUACACUGUGGAAUAUGACACAGCAAUGACAAUGAAUGAACUACAGCUAUACACAACAACAUGGAUGGCUAUCACAAACAUAAGGUAGAGCUAAAAGCGAAAAAAACCAGCAUAAAAGUGGGCAAAAGCCAUCUAUGUUGUUAAAAAUCAGGAUAGUGGCUGCCCUGGAAGGGGGCAUGAGGAGGCUUCAAGGUGCUUGUCAUGUUCUCUUUCUUCACU
RNAcentral lists this long non-coding RNA (14715 nucleotides) under Homo sapiens (human). RNAcentral's name for it is "HSALNT0050984". The record is from RNAcentral. Lineage: Eukaryota; Metazoa; Chordata; Mammalia; Primates; Hominidae.